CAGCCGCCGCGGUAAUACUGAGGGUGCAAGCGUUAAUCGGAAUUACUGGGCGUAAAGCGCACGCAGGCGGUCUGACAAGUCAGAUGUGAAAUCCCCGGGCUUAACCUGGGAACUGCAUUUGAAACUGUCAGGCUGGAGUCUUGUAGAGGGGGGUGGAAUUCCAGGUGUAGCGGUGAAAUGCGUAGAGAUCUGGAGGAAUACCGGUGGCGAAGGCGGCCCCCUGGACAAAGACUGACGCUCAGGUGCGAAAGCGUGGGGAGCAAACAGGAUUAGAUACCCCGGUAGUCCCUGUCUCUUAUAC
Molecule: ribosomal RNA, 301 nt
Filed under: uncultured bacterium
Lineage: Bacteria
Description: partial 16S ribosomal RNA
Rfam family: Bacterial small subunit ribosomal RNA
Source: RNAcentral